GGGUUGUGAGGUUAAGCGACUAAGCGUACACGGUGGAUGCCCUGGCAGUCAGAGGCGAUGAAGGGCGUGCUAAUCUGCGAUAAGCGCCGGUAAGGUGAUAUGAACCGUUAUAACCGGCGAUACCCGAAUGGGGAAACCCAGUGUGACUCGUCACACUAUCAUUAACUGAAUCCAUAGGUUAAUGAGGCGAACCGGGGGAACUGAAACAUCUAAGUACCCCGAGGAAAAGAAAUCAACCGAGAUUCCCCCAGUAGCGGCGAGCGAACGGGGAGGAGCCCAGAGCCUGAAUCAGCAUGUGUGUUAGUGGAAGCGUCUGGAAAGGCGCGCGAUACAGGGUGACAGCCCCGUACACAAAAGCGCAUGUGCUGUGAGCUCGAUGAGUAGGGCGGGACACGUGGUAUCCUGUCUGAAUAUGGGGGGACCAUCCUCCAAGGCUAAAUACUCCUGACUGACCGAUAGUGAACCAGUACCGUGAGGGAAAGGCGAAAAGAACCCCGGCGAGGGGAGUGAAAAAGAACCUGAAACCGUGUACGUACAAGCAGUGGGAGCACAGGUUUACCUGUGUGACUGCGUACCUUUUGUAUAAUGGGUCAGCGACUUAUAUUCUGUAGCAAGGUUAACCGAAUAGGGGAGCCGGAGGGAAACCGAGUCUUAACCGGGCGUUAAGUUGCAGGGUAUAGACCCGAAACCCGGUGAUCUAGCCAUGGGCAGGUUGAAGGUUGGGUAACACUAACUGGAGGACCGAACCGACUAAUGUUGAAAAAUUAGCGGAUGACCUGUGGCUGGGGGUGAAAGGCCAAUCAAACCGGGAGAUAGCUGGUUCUCCCCGAAAGCUAUUUAGGUAGCGCCUCGUGAAUUCAUCUCCGGGGGUAGAGCACUGUUUCGGCUAGGGGGCCAUCCCGGCUUACCAACCCGAUGCAAACUGCGAAUACCGGAGAAUGUUAUCACGGGAGACACACGGCGGGUGCUAACGUCCGUCGUGAAGAGGGAAACAACCCAGACCGCCAGCUAAGGUCCCAAAGUCAUGGUUAAGUGGGAAACGAUGUGGGAAGGCCCAGACAGCCAGGAUGUUGGCUUAGAAGCAGCCUUCAUUUAAAGAAAGCGUAAUAGCUCACUGGUCGAGUCGGCCUGCGCGGAAGAUGUAACGGGGCUAAACCAUGCACCGAAGCUGCGGCAGCGA
This 1180-nucleotide ribosomal RNA is filed under the name Salmonella enterica subsp. enterica. Its description in RNAcentral is "bacterial LSU rRNA". It matches the Rfam family "Bacterial large subunit ribosomal RNA", at positions 1 to 1211 of the family's 2925-position model. Lineage: Bacteria; Pseudomonadati; Pseudomonadota; Gammaproteobacteria; Enterobacterales; Enterobacteriaceae. The record is from RNAcentral.